RNAcentral lists this ribosomal RNA (209 nucleotides) under uncultured bacterium. RNAcentral's name for it is "partial 16S ribosomal RNA". It matches the Rfam family "Bacterial small subunit ribosomal RNA", at positions 524 to 730 of the family's 1533-position model. The record is from RNAcentral.
UACAGAGGUCUCGAGCGUUAUUCGGAUUCACUGGGCGUAAAGGGCGCGUAGGCGGUUUGUACAGUCAGACGUGAAAUUCCUGGGCUCAACCUGGGGGCUGCGUUUUGAUACGUGCGGACUUGAGUUUCGGAAGAGGGUCGUGGAAUUCCCAGUGUAGAGGUGAAAUUCGUAGAUAUUGGGAAGAACACCGGUGGCGAAGGCGGCGACCU